Molecule: ribosomal RNA, 1257 nt
Filed under: Triticum aestivum (bread wheat)
Lineage: Eukaryota; Viridiplantae; Streptophyta; Magnoliopsida; Poales; Poaceae
Description: partial small subunit ribosomal RNA
Source: RNAcentral
AUGGAAGUAGAGCCGUCUCUCCCGGACGACCUCCUGCUCGAGAUCCUCGUCCACGUCAAGGACGAGGCUGCUCUCUUCCGCUCAGCCACGGUGUGCAAGAGGUGGCUCCGUCUCAUCACCGAUCGCUGGUUCCUCCGGCGCCGCUGGCCCCAGUACUCCCCAUCCUCUUUCGUUGGCUUCUUCACCCGUGGAAAUCGCCAUGGGGAACCAGACGAAGGGUCUUUGCCUGGCCCGGAGCCAUGCUUCAUACCGGCACGGCGAUCUGCUCUGGGCCCUUGCCGCCGCUCCUUGGGAUCCUUUGUGACCUCUGCCCACGCCGGCCUCUUCAACGGCGCGUUGCCGCUCAUCUCACGCCACGGCCUUGUUGUUGUGUGUCUUGAAGCACACGACAGCACCGGCUAUCCAGACAGGACCAUUUUUCAAUUGGGUGUAUGCAACCUGCACGCCGCCACGUGUGUCAUGCUCCCUCCGCUAAAAGUUAGCCCAAACUUCUACUGCUAUGACUGUAAUGGCUAUGCCAUUCUGACCGGUGUAGAUUUUUGCUCCAAAGAUGAGUUAACACCCACGCUGCAGCCAAGCAACCCUUUAUCUUUCUUCAAAGUGAUCAUCAUUGGAUAUACCGGUGAUGACUUGAAGUACAAUCUCCAUACGUUCUCGUCCGACAAAUCAAGUUGGGACGAACGUACCAAUUGCUUCGACGGUGAUGCGCAGUCAUACGACUAUGGGUCGUUUAGCGAUGCCAUUGUGCACAAUGGCUUGGCACACUGGAUAUUUCAUAGUUAUGGAGAAGGGUGCCUUCAAGUCACUAAUUUGAAUGCUAAGACCGGCCAUAUCUCCUUGACGAAUCUGCCUUUGAAACUGAAUUACCAACCCACUAAACCUUCAUGCCUUACAUUAGGCAUCAAUGGUGUGUUAUCACUGCUAUGGAUGCAAAAGGAAGGUCCCCAGCUAGAUAUCUGGGAGCAACGCGAGGACCAAGGAAACAUGAGGGGUACUUCAGAAUGGCUAUGUACUCGAACGAUCGAGCUAAGACAACCAGUAAAAAACAAUGAAAUAAGAGAACUACUUGUCUUGAGAGAGAAAUGUGGAGCAUUGCUCAUCACUGACAACUAUGGACAAGUUUACGCUACCGAUCUCGAAACGGGGAUGAUGGAGAAGAUAGUGGAUUGGCCUUCCAGGCGCUCCAUAUGCCACUGGGAUUCCAUGCUCCUGGAGAUUGAUUGGCCCACGAUCUUCAUUUCAGGUCUUACCAAAUAA